GCCGGGCGUAGUGGCGGACGCCUGUAGUCCCAGCUACUCGGGAGGCUGAGGCAGGAGAAUGGCGUGAACCCGGGAAGCCGAGCUUGCAGUAAGCCGAGAUUGCACCACUGCACUCCAGCCUGGGCGACAGAGACAGACUCCGUCUCAAAAAAAAAGAAAAAGAAAACAAAAAAACAACAAUAGAGAAAAUUAAUAUAACCAAAAGUUGGUGUUUUUUUGUGUUGUCUUUUGAGAUGGAGUCUCGCUCUGUCGCCCAGGCUGGAGUGCAGUGGCGCGAUCUCGGCUCACGGCAAGCUCCACCUUCCGGGUUCACGCCAGUCUCCUGCCUCA
Molecule: signal recognition particle RNA, 330 nt
Filed under: Pongo abelii (Sumatran orangutan)
Lineage: Eukaryota; Metazoa; Chordata; Mammalia; Primates; Hominidae
Rfam family: Metazoan signal recognition particle RNA
About the family: The signal recognition particle (SRP) is a universally conserved ribonucleoprotein. It is involved in the co-translational targeting of proteins to membranes. The eukaryotic SRP consists of a 300-nucleotide 7S RNA and six proteins: SRPs 72, 68, 54, 19, 14, and 9.
Source: RNAcentral